UACGAAGGGGGCUAGCGUUGUUCGGAAUCACUGGGCGUAAAGCGCACGUAGGCGGAUCGUUUAGUCAGGGGUGAAAUCCCGAGGCUCAACCUCGGAACUGCCUUUGAUACUGGCGAUCUUGGAGUCCGGAAGAGGUGAGUGGAAUUCCGAGUGUAGAGGUGAAAUUCGUAGAUAUUCGGAAGAACACCAGUGGCGAAGGCGGCUCACUGGCCAGAUACUGACGCUGAGGUGCGAAAGUGUGGGGAGCAAACAGG
RNAcentral lists this unclassified non-coding RNA (254 nucleotides) under Alphaproteobacteria bacterium. Its description in RNAcentral is "contains 16S-23S intergenic spacer region". It matches the Rfam family "Bacterial small subunit ribosomal RNA", at positions 524 to 776 of the family's 1533-position model. The record is from RNAcentral. Lineage: Bacteria; Pseudomonadati; Pseudomonadota; Alphaproteobacteria.